AUACGGAGGGGGCUAGCGUUGUUCGGAAUUACUGGGCGUAAAGGGCGUGUAGGCGGAUCGAUCAGUCAGGCGUGAAAGCCCCGGGCUCAACCCGGGAAAUGCGCUUGAAACUGUCGAUCUUGAGUUCGGGAGAGGGUAGUGGAAUUCCCAGUGUAGAGGUGAAAUUCGUAGAUAUUGGGAAGAACACCAGUGGCGAAGGCGGCCUUCUGGACGGUGACUGACGCUGAGACGCGAAAGCGUGGGGAGCAAACAGGAUUAGAUACCCCAGUAGUCC
This 274-nucleotide ribosomal RNA is filed under the name uncultured bacterium. Its description in RNAcentral is "partial 16S ribosomal RNA". It matches the Rfam family "Bacterial small subunit ribosomal RNA", at positions 523 to 796 of the family's 1533-position model. The record is from RNAcentral.